RNAcentral lists this ribosomal RNA (405 nucleotides) under uncultured bacterium. RNAcentral describes it as "partial 16S ribosomal RNA". It matches the Rfam family "Bacterial small subunit ribosomal RNA", at positions 30 to 526 of the family's 1533-position model. The record is from RNAcentral.
AUUGAACGCUAGCGGGAUGCUUUACACAUGCAAGUCGAACGAGUGUCGGACGGGUGAGUAAUAUAUCGGAACGUGCCCGGUAGAGGGGGAUAACUACUCGAAAGAGUUGCUAAUACCGCAUACUCUUGGAGCGGCCCAUAUUGGAUUAGCUAGUUGGUGGGGUAAAGGCGCACAAAGGCCACGAUCCGAAGCUGGUUUGAGAGGACGACCAGCCACACUGGAACUGAGACACGGCCCAGACUCCUACGGGAGGCAGCAGUGGGGAAUUUGGGACAAUGGGGGAAACCCUGAUCCAGCCAUCCCGCGUGUAUGAGAAGGCCUUCGGGUUGUAAAGUACGUUUGGCGGGGAGGCGGUAUCUGCAGAAUAAGCACCGGCUAACUACGUGCCAGCAGCCGCGGUAAUUC